AGGGUCGCUGCAUAAGUUUCUGGCCUAACCUAUUUCUAGUGUUUUCAGAUGCAAUCUGACGAUUCCAUCGGAAAGUUUGACAUUUUUUAGGCUAAAAAACACUAUAGCAGGGAUUGUUUUACAUUACUGGGUGUGUCUAAGCCUCCUUUCCAAGGGAUACCUGGAAAAAUCGUUUCGCACAGCAUCAAUGUGUUCCGGCGUUACAGCUGAUAUUUUACGACUUUCCUGCGGACUCAUUUUUGAGUGAGCUUCGUCAACAUUUAAAAUCGUUAUAUCACCUCUAAAUACUUGGAAUGGACCGAGUUUUAUCACCCAAAGCGAAUUUGAGGCUAUCACGGCACUCUUGUUGAGUUAGUCCCUCUCAAAAAUCGGAAAAAAUCAUUGCACUAAAAUGUUUGCGGAAAAAUUCAAUUUUUUCAUCAAAUUGAAAUAUUCAAGCUCAUAAAACACCACGAUCCGUAGUGAAUCAACAGUUGACGUCUGAGGAAA
Long non-coding RNA from Sitodiplosis mosellana (orange wheat blossom midge), 489 nucleotides. RefSeq lists it as uncharacterized. The transcript has 2 exons. Lineage: Eukaryota; Metazoa; Arthropoda; Insecta; Diptera; Cecidomyiidae. The record is from RefSeq and is a predicted model, not a curated record.